This 958-nucleotide ribosomal RNA is filed under the name Ocellularia cavata. RNAcentral describes it as "eukaryotic LSU rRNA". It matches the Rfam family "Eukaryotic large subunit ribosomal RNA", at positions 40 to 973 of the family's 3401-position model. The record is from RNAcentral. Lineage: Eukaryota; Fungi; Ascomycota; Lecanoromycetes; Ostropales; Graphidaceae.
AUAUCAAUAAGCGGAGGAAAAGAAACCAACAGGGAUUGCCUUAGUAACGGCGAGUGAAGCGGCAAUAGCUCAAAUUUGAAAUCUGGCCUUUGGCCCGAAUUGUAAUUUGUAGAAGGUGCUUCGGGCAUGGUUAUGGUUCAAGUCCCUUGGAACAGGGCGUCAUAGAGGGUGAGAAUCCCGUAUGCGACCAAUAGCCAAACCUGGGUGAAGUCCUUUCGACGAGUCGAGUUGUUUGGGAAUGCAGCUCUAAAUGGGUGGUAAAUUUCAUCUAAAGCUAAAUAUCUGCCAGGGACCGAUAGUGCACAAGUAGAGUGAUCGAAAGAUGAAAAGCACUUUGGAAAGAGAGUUAAACAGUACGUGAAAUUGUUGAAAGGGAAGCGCUUGCAACCAGACUCGUUCGCGGGUGUUCAGCCACCCUCUGGGGUGGUGCACUCUCCCGCCGCGGGCCAGCAUCGGUUUCGGCGACUGGAUAAAGGCUUUGGGAAUGUAGCUCUCUUCGGGGAGUGUUAUAGCCCGGGGUGUAAUGCAGCCAGUCGGGACCGAGGAAUGCGCAUUGCUAGGAUGCUGGCGUAAUGGUUGCCAGCGACCCGUCUUGAAACACGGACCAAGGAGUCGACCAAUUGUGCGAGUGUUUGGGUAUCAAACCCGCACGCGUAAUGAAAGUAAACGUAGGUGGGAACCUUCUGGUGCACCAUCGACCGAUCUUGAUGUUUUCGGAUGGAUUUGAGUAUGAGCCCAAUUGGUCGGACCCGAAAGGUAAGAUCUUGUAUUCAUUCUCAAAGUAGCGAUUAACUAACAGCUUUACAGAUGGUGAACUAUGCGUGAAUAGGGUGAAGCCAGAGGAAACUCUGGUGGAGGCUCGCAGCGGUUCUGACGUGCAAAUCGAUCGUCAAAUUUGCGCAUAGGGGCGAAAGACUAAUCGAACCGUCUAGUAGCUGGUUCCCGUCGAAGUUUCCCU